RNAcentral lists this ribosomal RNA (253 nucleotides) under uncultured bacterium. RNAcentral's name for it is "partial 16S ribosomal RNA". It matches the Rfam family "Bacterial small subunit ribosomal RNA", at positions 524 to 776 of the family's 1533-position model. The record is from RNAcentral.
UACGUAGGGGGCAAGCGUUGUCCGGAUUCAUUGGGCGUAAAGAGCUUGUAGGCGGUUUGUCGCGUCUGCUGUGAAAUCUCAAGGCUCAACCUUGAGCUUGCAGUGGGUACGGGCAGACUAGAGUGUGGUAGGGGAGACUGGAAUUCCUGGUGUAGCGGUGAAAUGCGCAGAUAUCAGGAGGAACGCCGAUGGCGAAGGCAGGUCUCUGGGCCACUACUGACGCUGAGAAGCGAAAGCAUGGGGAGCGAACAGG